GACGAACGCUGGCGGCGUGCUUAACACAUGCAAGUCGUACGGUAAGGCCCUUUCGGGGGUACACGAGUGGCGAACGGGUGAGUAACACGUGAGUAACCUGCCCACAACUUUGGGAUAACGCUAGGAAACUGGUGCUAAUACUGGAUAUGUGCUCCUGCUGCAUGGUGGGGGUUGGAAAGCUCCGGCGGUUGUGGUUGGACUCGCGGCCUAUCAGCUUGUUGGUGGGGUAGUGGCCUACCAAGGCGGCGACGGGUAGCCGGCCUGAGAGGGUGACCGGCCACAUUGGGACUGGGACACGGCCACGACCCCGACGGGAGGGAGCAGUGGGGGCUAGUGCUCAAUGGGCGCACGCCCGAUGCAGCACCGCCGCGUGCGGGAUGACGGCCUUCGGGUUGUGAACCGCAAGCAGCAGGGACGAAGCUUUUUGUGACGGUACCUGCAGAAGAAGCACCGGCUAACUCCGUG
RNAcentral lists this ribosomal RNA (465 nucleotides) under uncultured bacterium. RNAcentral's name for it is "partial 16S ribosomal RNA". It matches the Rfam family "Bacterial small subunit ribosomal RNA", at positions 28 to 507 of the family's 1533-position model. The record is from RNAcentral.